Molecule: ribosomal RNA, 492 nt
Filed under: uncultured bacterium
Lineage: Bacteria
Description: partial 16S ribosomal RNA
Rfam family: Bacterial small subunit ribosomal RNA
Source: RNAcentral
AGUGAACGCUGGCGGUAGGCCUAACACAUGCAAGUCGAACGGCAGCACAGUAAGAGCUUGCUCUUACGGGUGGCGAGUGGCGGACGGGUGAGGGAUACAUCGGAAUCUACUUUUUCGUGGGGGAUAACGUAGGGAAACUUACGCUAAUACCGCAUACGACCUACGGGUGAAAGCAGGGGAUCUUCGGACCUUGCGCGAUUGAAUGAGCCGAUGUCGGAUUAGCUAGUUGGCGGGGUAAAGGCCCACCAGGGCGACGAUCCGUAGCUGGUCUGAGAGGAUGAUCAGCCACACUGGAACUGAGACACGGUCCAGACUCCUACGGGAGGCAGCAGUGGGGAAUAUUGGACAAUGGGCGCAAGCCUGAUCCAGCCAUACCGCGUGGGUGAAGAAGGCCUUCGGGUUGUAAAGCCCUUUUGUUGGGAAAGAAAAGCAGCAGGUUAAUACCCCGCUGUUCUGACGGUACCCAAAGAAUAAGCACCGGCUAACUUCGUG